Non-coding RNA from Zonotrichia albicollis (white-throated sparrow), 2758 nucleotides. The record is from RefSeq and is a predicted model, not a curated record. Lineage: Eukaryota; Metazoa; Chordata; Aves; Passeriformes; Passerellidae.
CCAGGCGAUGGGUGGGGAGAGGAGGAGGAGGAGGAGGAAGAGGAGGAGGAGGGGUCCUCGCGGCUUUAUCUCCCACCCGCUCCGCCCGCCGUCGGCUGUCUCCCGUGACCGCAGCGCACCGGCGGGCGCAGCGCGGGCAGGGCAGCGCCCAUGGGCUGCGGCAACUCCACGGCCGGCAGCGCGGGCGGGCGAGGUGCUACAGGGACUACUAAAGAUGUGUAAGUACUUACUCUUCUCUACUCUUUUAAAUAUAUAACCCUGGACAUAUUUUCAGUCAUACUAGCCUUAUACUAGAUUUAGUCAUACAUGAUUAAUCUGGCUUCUAACAUAUAAUCAACACAACCAGAUGUUUACUGUCUCUAGUGACAGCUUUCAUCUCCACAAAACAACUCCUUGUCUUGUUUACUUUUCUACAGAUUUCUUUGCUUGUUAUUUCUCUAACAGAAAUUUCUUUUCUCUGCUUCUGUUGAGACAGUUUUCUACCAGAGCUGGUUAUGUUACUUCAGACUGCUUUUCCCCAUCAUGUGCCAGUGCACCUUUUUCCAAAGGCCAUCUAAUUGUAUGAAGCCAGCACAUACAUUUCCACCAGGCCCAGUGAGAGAUUUAGAAAGCCACUGAGAUAAAAUCCCUCUCUUUUGCAUGAGACCCACUAACCUGUCCAACUUCCUUUUCAAAGUACCCACCUUCUCUAGGUAUUCUCUGCAUUAAAGAUAGCAUCUAUUUGUUUGACACGGGGUAGCAGAGGCAGCCCUACCCAUCCUGUUUUUCUCUAAAUGUGCAAGAUCUUUUUUACGGCUAUACUUACUUGCUGAUACAGGAAUGCACAGGAACAGCUUUAUUCAGCCAUAAAUGUAUUUUUCUACCAAAGAAAACCAUAAAGAAUUCCUCCCCAAGGUCUUGCCUUCUCCUAUUUCUUGUUACUUGUAUUUGCCACUAGCUGGGAAAGAUUGUUAUGUUAUGCAAUAGGCACAUCCUUCGGUGUUAUUUACUUCGCUUAGAAUAACUCCUCUAAUUAGAUGGAGGAAUCCUUGUGUAGAAAUGAAGGCAGUCAAGUCAGAUAAACAAGUGGAGGGAAGAGCUUAACAACAGGCUUGUCCUUGCUAUUACAGAGCAAGGACAAGAGAACUAACAACAGGUGUCACUUGGCUGAUCAACACUGUUGCCACAGAUACUCUUGACAUCUGUCUUACCUCUGUAGUCUGUUUUCUGGGCUUGUAGUGCCAGACAAUAAAUUACAGAAGGGAAUCUUAUAAAGAACCUCUUCUUGAUGCAGCCUGCAGCAUCACUGCCCUCAGUACUCCUGUAUUUACAAACACACUGGUUUAAUUUAUGGAAGGACCUUAUUUAUUGUUCAAUUUAGACGAUUUAAGGACUGACUUAGAACUGCAUCUUUCUUUUUGCUCAUCAGUAGUUUUAAAUUUCAAAAUCUCAUGCACUGUUGAGUUAUGAAUGUUGUAAGCAUGUUCCUGUGCUUAAAGGUAUGGAAUAUGUAAACUGUGAGUAUAUGUAGAACUGUGUUUAACUGUGUGUAAGCCUUUUUAGAGCCUGGCUGCAGGAGUUAAAAUGGGAACAUCCUAUUAUUAGUGUGAGUUCAUUUGUCAUGUUUCAAAAUAGUAUCAAAAUAACAUAGAAAAAAAUUAAUUACUUGUGCAGUCUUCAACAAAGUGAAAGGGUCUAUUCUGGAGCUAUUUCUCAUUCAGAUUAGGGACAGUGGAGCCAACCAAACAACCCAUAUGAGUAAUAGCAUGGUUGAGCCUUCUAUUUGGAUGUUAGAAACACACACUUACUAAAGAGGAAUGGCAGUGAUGACCCAAAAGCCCUAAUCAGGCAUUCUAAUACUUAACAGAAGAUUUUUAUGAAGGAGGUAAACUAUCAGAAAAAUUACUUUCAUUUCAUAGAAAUGAAAAAAGCAGAUUUGUAUUAACUAAUAUUAUAGAUCCACAAAACUUUUUUUACACCUUUUUACUUUCAUCAGCUAAAGUUUCUCUUUAAGUAACCCUUAUCUUUUUCUUUUGCUGUCAAAUUUCAGUCAUAGCACUUUUGAUCCAGAAAAACAUUUAGGUGUGUCCAUCCUUUCAUGCUUUUGGAUACCAAAUCUGGUUAUUCUAACAUGAGGUUUCUCAUUUCUUGACUGUGACUCAUUGCCAAAGCACCAUGACUCCUGGAGUGCACAGCCAAAUGGAAGCGAAGAGGGCUGGAUCCUGCUCGGGGCCCUCCUGGGUGACUGUGAGGAAGCUGCUUUGCCCUCUGGGCCUGGAGUUUCUCCAUCAAUUAGAUAGGGGUGAUGAUAUGAUCUUCCUCUGAAAGGGUUCUUCCUCUCUGAGGGCUGUGUGGUGACAAGGACACAUGCUCUGAGAGCAUGUCUGCCCUCUGUGCUCCAACCCAGGAUCUGCCAGCCAGCUUCAGCCCAUACUCCUGCCCCAUUAAUCAAGAAACAUUCAUCACUGCUAAUUGGGAAAGCCUAGCUGUAGGAGAAGUAAAGGAUAUGCUAGAAAGUAAUGCAAUGCCUGUGGUAUUCAGUGUUUAGCUAAGUCUGGGGGAGGAUUAGUUACACUAGGAAGGAAAGGAUACAGCAGUUAAAUUCCAUUUCAAAAUAUUGAGAAGAAAUGCAUCAAAUACAAAUUAAAGGCACUUGUUCCCAAGAAACACCAAGAAUCUGAGGAGUAGUUGUCUGUCACUUGUUCAAAGUUCAAUGGAUCAUUAUUAGUGGGACUACUGAACCCAUGUAGAAAGAGUCUCUAUAAUGAUCGGAACAAAC